UUUUCUGAUGACGAGUGGCGCACGGGUGCGUAACGCGUAUGCAAUCUACCUUUUACAGGGGGAUAGCCCAGAGAAAUUUGGAUUAAUAUCCCAUAGUAUCAAGAGUCGGCAUCGGCAUUUGAUUAAAGAUUUAUCGGUAAAAGAUGAGCAUGCGUCCUAUUAGCUAGAUGGUGUGGUAACGGCACACCAUGGCAACGAUAGGUAGGGGCCCUGAGAGGGGGAUCCCCCACACUGGUACUGAGACACGGACCAGACUCCUACGGGAGGCAGCAGUGAGGAAUAUUGGACAAUGGGCGCAAGCCUGAUCCAGCCAUGCCGCGUGCAGGAAGACUGCCCUAUGGGUUGUAAACUGCUUUUAUACGGGAAGAAACACUCCCUCGUGAGGGAGCUUGACGGUACCGUAAGAAUAAGGAUCGGCUAACUCCGUGCCAGCAGCCGCGGUAAUACGGAGGAUCCAAGCGUUAUCCGGAAUCAUUGGGUUUAAAGGGUCCGUAGGUGGAUAAUUAAGUCAGAGGUGAAAUCCUGCAGCUCAACUGUAGAAUUGCCUUUGAUACUGGUUAUCUUGAGUCAUUAUGAAGUGGUUAGAAUAUGUAGUGUAGCGGUGAAAUGCAUAGAUAUUACAUAGAAUACCUAUUGCGAAGGCAGAUCACUAAUAAUGUACUGACACUGA
RNAcentral lists this ribosomal RNA (670 nucleotides) under Meridianimaribacter sp. xn48. Its description in RNAcentral is "bacterial SSU rRNA". It matches the Rfam family "Bacterial small subunit ribosomal RNA", at positions 81 to 749 of the family's 1533-position model. The record is from RNAcentral. Lineage: Bacteria; Pseudomonadati; Bacteroidota; Flavobacteriia; Flavobacteriales; Flavobacteriaceae.